Molecule: ribosomal RNA, 292 nt
Filed under: uncultured bacterium
Lineage: Bacteria
Description: partial 16S ribosomal RNA
Source: RNAcentral
GGACUACCGGGGUAUCUAAUCCUGUUCGCUACCCACGCUUUCGCUUCUCAGCGUCAGUUACUUCCCAGAGACCCGCCUUCGCCACCGGUGUUCCUCCUGAUAUCUGCGCAUUUCACCGCUACACCAGGAAUUCCAGUCUCCCCUGAAGUACUCUAGCCCGCCCGUAUCGACUGCAAGCUCACGGUUGAGCCGUGAGUUUUCACAAUCGACGCGACGAACCGCCUACAAGCUCUUUACGCCCAGUAAUUCCGGACAACGCUCGCACCCUACGUAUUACCGCGGCUGCUGGCAC